UGAUGACGAGACGCUAAGGCGUUGAAGCAGAGUAUGUCAGACUUCCAAGAAAAGCUCGCAAUGUCACUAAUAAAAAAUGCCUGUACCAUAACCGACACAGGUGGGUAGGUAGAGUAUACUAAGGGGCGCGAGAUAACUCUCUCUAAGGAACUCGGCAAAAUGACUCCGUAACUUCGGGAGAAGGAGUGCCUUAUUUAUAAGGUUGCAAUAACAAGAUCCAAGCAACUGUUUAUCAAAAACACAGGUCUCCGCUAAGUCGUAAGACGAUGUAUGGGGGCUGACGCCUGCCCAGUGCCAGAAGGUUAAAGAAGUUGGUUAGUGUAUGCGAAGCUGAUGACUGAAGCCCUGGUGAACGGCGGCCGUAACAAUAACGGUCCUAAGGUAGCGAAAUUCCUUGUCGGGUAAGUUCCGACCCGCACGAAAGGCGUAAUGAUUUGGAUACUGUCUCGGAGGGAGGCUCGGUGAAAUAGACUUGUCUGUGAAGAUGCGGACUACCUGCACCAGGACAGAAAGACCCUAUGAAGCUUUACUGUAACUUGAAAUUGGAAUUGGACUUUGCUUGCGCAGUAUAGGUGGGAAGCGUUGAAAAUAUUCUUGCGGGAGUAUUGGAGCUAUCAGUGAGAUACCACUCUUGUAAUGUUAGAUUUCUAACUUUGAACCAUAAUCUGGUCAAAGAACAGUUUCAGGUGGGCAGUUUGACUGGGGCGGUCGCCUCCCAAAUGGUAACGGAGGCGUACAAAGGUUUCCUCUGAACGGAUAGAAAUCGUAUCUAGAGUGUAAAGGCAUAAGGAAGCUUGACUGUGAGACCUACAAGUCGAGCAGGGACGAAAGUCGGUCUUAGUGAUCUGACGGUACUGAGUGGAAAGGCCGUCACUCAACGGAUAAAAGUUACUCUAGGAUAACAGGCUGAUCUCCCCCAAGAGUUCACAUCGACGGGGAGGUUUGGCACCUCGAUGUCGGCUCAUCGCAUCCUGGGGCGGUAGUACGUCCCAAGGGUUGGGCUGUUCGCCCAUGAAAGCGGUACGCGAGCUGGGUUCAGAACGUCGUGAGACAGUUCGGUCCAUAUCCGGUGUAGGCGCUAGAAUAUUGAGAGGAGCCUUCUUUAGUACGAGAGGACCGAGAAGGACACACCGCUGGUGUACCAGUUAUCGUGCCAACGGUAAAUGCUGGGUAGCUAUGUGUGGAGUGGAUAACCGCUGAAAGCAUCUAAGUGGGAAGCCCACCUCGAGAUGAGUAUUCUC
RNAcentral lists this ribosomal RNA (1241 nucleotides) under metagenome. RNAcentral describes it as "bacterial LSU rRNA". It matches the Rfam family "Bacterial large subunit ribosomal RNA", at positions 1564 to 2815 of the family's 2925-position model. The record is from RNAcentral.